This 815-nucleotide long non-coding RNA is filed under the name Rosa chinensis. RNAcentral describes it as "sRNA RchiOBHm_Chr5g0071871". The record is from RNAcentral. Lineage: Eukaryota; Viridiplantae; Streptophyta; Magnoliopsida; Rosales; Rosaceae.
CUAGACAUAUCAAGAGGGAGAGCGCGCAAGAGCAACCCUAGCUUCGACGGCGGUUCUUCACGCUGUGUUUAGUGUCGACGGAGACAUUGACGCGUUGGUGGCUUUUGGUUUGUGAAGGCGGCAUGUGGUGUCGUGGAUUGCAGGUGAGAGACUUGCGCUAGGAAGUGUUCGCGUCUUGCAGAUCAGAGGCGGUCUGGUCUGAAAGCAGCAGUGACGGUGAUAGCGUCGAUCGGAGAGUGGUCGGCGGCGGUUGUUGCUUACUUCUAGUUGGUUUGGAGAUUUCUUUCUGAUUCCAGCCAGUUGGUUUUGUUGCUGGCCUGAUGUAGUUUUCAAGGGUAGCGGUGGGUUGCUGGUUCAAGCCGGAUUGUCGUCGUUGAUGCAAGGCUAUCUAGAAGGGCCGGCUGUCAAAAAGCUCGACGGCGACGGUGCUAGAUUGACAGAUGCAGGCUAGGGUUUUUAUCCACUUUACUCGGUUUUGGGCUUGGGCCUUUUGGCCUGGGCUCAAAGCUGGGUUUUUAAGGUCUCUUUUGUUGACCUUUUAGGAGGGUGCCUUGCCAUCCGCACUUAUCACUUAGUGGUGAGGGUGGGCCUUGCCUAAGAGGUGGACCUUCUUGGGCAUUGAGGCCUAUGUAUGGUCCAUGACCAAUCGUUUAGAAUCAAGACUGCUAUAGGAGUUGGUAAUUAUCUGGAUUAAGAUUGGCGUAGCGGCUUAUGGAUAAGGAGUUACUCCUAUUUGUUUGCUAGGAAGUGACAUUCUGUUAGUACCACAACUGCGUGAUUGGCUAAUAGGAGGCUAGAUAAUGAUUUUGUCUUAG